Long non-coding RNA from Mauremys reevesii (Reeves's turtle), 452 nucleotides. RefSeq lists it as uncharacterized. Lineage: Eukaryota; Metazoa; Chordata; Testudines; Geoemydidae. The record is from RefSeq and is a predicted model, not a curated record. The transcript has 3 exons.
CAGAGGGAGAACAGGAUGCAUGGCUUGCUGGAAGAGCAGCAGGACCAAGGACAGCUCACUGCAGGCAGGACUGACCCCAGGAAAAGCUGCUGAAGAUCGGGUGCCUGGCUGGCUGGAAGAGCAGCAGGACCGUAGAUAGGUGCAAUCCCAGCUUCACUCAAGUUCAUGGCAAAACUCUCAUUGAUUUCAAUGGAGCCAGGAUUUCACUGGCCUCAAUGCAUCUCCAGGUCAUCCAGGAUCCUGUCAUUAUCAGAGAUCCACUUGCUUAGGUACAAAGCAACUAAACCACCAUUUCCCUAGAGAGCGUCAAGCCAUUCAGGAGUAGCAGCAGACAGGAAAUUGGUCUGUUCCCGAUGAACAUCAUCAUUAGUCUGUCUUGAGACUCAGGUGCAGACUGAAAGGCAGCUGCGGCUCCCAUCAGGGCCCAAACAAACAUUCAGUGAAACUUUCAA